AGUGUGAUUAGAAAAUGUAAAUGUCAUUGCCAUUAUUAUAAAUGAUAGUGAGUUGAAAUUGACAUGUUAUGACAGUAAAAGUAAUUUCAUUGAAAAAAAAAAAAAAAAAAAAAAAUGAAAGAACUUUAGUUGUAAUUAUUUUUAUAUAAGAAGCGCAAAACUACAAAAACACACUUGUAUCUCAAAGUGGUCAGCUUAACAAGUCGAGCUGGUACACAUGUCGAUGAUCAGAAAAUAAUUUACAGCGGAUGGACCACCUGUAAAGAGGCAUAAUUCACAGCACGCAAUCGACUUAAAUAGAGCGACAUUAAUCUUGUCACUAUUGACCUGUAACGCCUCUUAGCCGAUGAUUUAUGCCGGCUGACUAUUUUAGAACACCCUGGAAUGACCGUCGUUUACUAUUUUACUAACCAACACAAUAAAGAUGCUAAUUUCUUUAUUAUAUUACAGGGGAUUAAUUUAUAACGGUCACUGCAGGCUGAUGGUGAUGAUAUAAAGAUUUUUAUUACCACUAUUAAAAUAGUAACACGAGUUUGAUGGUUUGAUGUGAAGAAAUAAAUGCUCCAAGUUACAAUCAUCUCUAGAAGCUAAGCUAAGCCUUCAGAUGUUCAUCAAGCGCAAGCAAAGGUGAAUUUUCUCGUGCAUAAACUCAAUUCAAAUCAUCAAGAGCCCUCAUCGUAAAACGCUGAUUUUGAUGACGAUAAAAACAGCUAGAUGUGCAUGUUAUAUCGCAGGAAGUCAUAGUAAUUCUAGGAAGAAAAAAUAAAAUAUAUAAAAAUAAAUAAAUAGAAAUAAAUUGAGGGACAUUGAACUUAAGCUAAGUUGCUAUACAUAUUUUAUUUAUAUUUACACUCAUAUUAUAUAUUAUACGUUUCCUUGUAAUGUUCAAUAGUAUAAACAUAACAUAAAACCGUUUUUCGAUAUUACAGCUAUUGCAGUCGAAGAUAAUGAUGCAUACUGAUAUCUAAUUAAAGCAACGGACAAAACUGACAGAUGAUAUUAACACACCGUCUAUUAUAUCUUUCUCAAAGAUGCCAUUCCAUAUCCAUGGACCCAGGAUCACGUGCUCCUCCAGAUCUACUGGGUUAAGGUGUGAAUGCAUAAUUAAUCAUAAUCAUAGAUUAGUAGGGUGUCAUGGACCGGCGAGUAAACAUUUAAAAACAAUGCAAGGUGCUAUAUCGGUCGGGUCAUGACUCACUUUUCUUACGCUCAUUUCAUUAUACCUUUUGUUAUAAAUUGUGAAUUGUCUUGCUAUGCGUGCGACUUACUGACUCGUAUUUUGUUAUGCAGAGCAGCAGGUAUGUAUAGUGUAUAAAUAUGUAUCAAUAAAAACAAGAAACUAUUUUAAUGCAUUAGAUUAU
Molecule: long non-coding RNA, 1361 nt
Organism: Cotesia glomerata
Lineage: Eukaryota; Metazoa; Arthropoda; Insecta; Hymenoptera; Braconidae
Exons: 3
Source: RefSeq, a predicted model, not a curated record